UCUGGAUUAAUUGUGUGAUUUAAUCUGUACUAUCUUUCUAUAAUUCCUUUGACGGAAUUGAAGAUGUCACUGAUCCACUGAGAUCUGGU
Elaeis guineensis (African oil palm) is the source of this 89-nucleotide small nucleolar RNA. RefSeq annotates it as small nucleolar RNA snoR27. NCBI's taxonomy places the organism in Eukaryota, Viridiplantae, Streptophyta, Magnoliopsida, Arecales, Arecaceae. The record is from RefSeq and is a predicted model, not a curated record.